CUUUCCAGAGAGGGACCUUGUAAGGCUGACUUUGGAAUAUGACUGCAUUCUGGUAAGCCCACUGGAUAAGUGAGCUAUAACAUAAAUCCUUAGGUUAUAAGGAGGAGAGCUUACUAGAACUAUUUAUUAGUAGCCAAUGUUUACCUGCCAAAAAUGAUUUUAAUUUAUAUGUUUUCCCAGAAAACACAUCCAGCUAUGUAUUUCUAGAGUCUGAAGGUAAGACCAUGCUGAGAGCAUAAGGAUGUUAUCUUUUUAUUUUAUGGUGGGGAGAUGAAAGAGAGAUGUGUUUAUUAACCAAAAGCCAUGACAAAUUAUUUAAGGACAAGUUACAAGGGGAAUAAGGAUACAAGUGCAGUAAACAUAAGCCUGAUUUUAUACUCUUUAAAGUAAAAAUUUGCUUCUAGAGAGCCUAACAGCUCCUAACAUCCUACCCAUUUGAUUCCUCAGAUUCAAUAA
RNAcentral lists this long non-coding RNA (456 nucleotides) under Homo sapiens (human). RNAcentral describes it as "non-protein coding lnc-GCA-5:3". Lineage: Eukaryota; Metazoa; Chordata; Mammalia; Primates; Hominidae. The record is from RNAcentral.